Dermochelys coriacea (leatherback sea turtle) is the source of this 1019-nucleotide non-coding RNA. Lineage: Eukaryota; Metazoa; Chordata; Testudines; Dermochelyidae. The record is from the annotation of a RefSeq genome assembly.
CAAUUUCUCCUCCCCCUUCCUCGAGUCUCCAGCUCCGGGCCGCAGCCAGAGCCGAGAGCAGGGGCAGCCCCGGCCUGCCUGCGUGGUUAGCACCACAGUCACUCAGCGGAGGAGACCAGCGCCAGCAGGAAAGGAGCUGCCUAUGUAUUUAAGGCAUCACCUCCCUGAAUGCAUCCGAUGAAGUGAGCUGUAGCUCACGAAAGCUUAUGCUCUAAUAAAUUUGUUAGUCUCUAAGGUGCCACAAGUACUCCUUUUCUUUUUGCGAAUACAGACUAACACGGCUGCUACUCUGAAACCUCCCUGAGUAAAACCUCUCCCUCCCAGCUCCUCUUCACUGCUGGGGAAGGCGAGGAAAAAGCUUCCUUCUUGGGCUGUGGAGGGAAGUUUCCAUCCUACUUCAUCCCUGAAAUAUGUUCCUGCCCUGGGUGUCUAUUCUUACACCGCUUCUGAUUCUGGGGGUUAAUGGAGAGUCAGUGACACAGCCUGAUGACACAGUGACAGUAUCCCAAGGUGAACCAGUGCUGCUGAAAUGCAUCUAUGACACUUCCUAUAUUCCUACGCUCUGGUGGUACGAGCAGUACCCAAAUGAAGCCCCUCACCUCUUGCUGACACAAUAUGAAGCAUCGGAUGAGGAGGAGAGAAGGAGCCGGCGAGGGUUCUCCGCCACACCCGACAAACAGGGGAAGACUUUCCACCUAAAGAAAAGCGCCAGUGAACUUCGCGACUCAGCCGUCUACUACUGCGCGAUGAGAGACACAGUGACCGCACCCAGCAGGGCCGCUGCGCAAAAACCUGCUGGGGCAAAAGGAAGCGGCACUGAAGAUCUGUGGGUUCGAGCCCCAGAAGAACAGACUUUUCACAGCGCCAUUGGAGUCAGUGAAUCCCAUCCCCAUGGUGUAAAUGUGCGUAGCUUCACGGGAGUCAACGGGCCAGAUCCCAAACAGUUGGGAGUGGUUGGAGCUCAAUGGAAGCAAAUGAUCCAGUUCCUCAAAAUGUUUUAAAAUCAAUGAGGAAUUGCA